UACGAAGGUGGCAAGCGUUGUUCGGAAUUAUUGGGCGUAAAGGGCGCGUAGGCGGGCGUGCAAGUCGAUUGUGAAAUCCCUGGGCUCAACCUGGGAAUUGCAGUCGAAACUGCAUGUCUUGAAUGCUCGAGAGGAUGGUGGAAUUCCAGGAGUAGUAGUGAAAUACGUAGAUAUCUGGAGGAACACCGGAGGCGAAAGCGGCCAUCUGGCGAGACAUUGACGCUAAUGCGCGAAAGCGUGGGGAUCAAACAGGAUUAGAUACCCUGGUAGUCCACGCCAUAAACGAUGAAUACUAGAUGUUCGGAGAGUUAACCCUCUGAGUAUCAAAGCUAACGCAUUAAGUAUUCCGCCUGGGAAGUACGGUCGCAAGAUUGAA
RNAcentral lists this ribosomal RNA (376 nucleotides) under uncultured bacterium. Its description in RNAcentral is "bacterial SSU rRNA". It matches the Rfam family "Bacterial small subunit ribosomal RNA", at positions 524 to 898 of the family's 1533-position model. The record is from RNAcentral.